CACGUAGGGCGCAAGCGUUUGUCCGGAAUUAUUGGGCGUAAAGAGCUCGUAGGUGGUUUGCUGCGUCCGCUGUGAAAACCCAAGGCUUAACCUUGGGCUUGCAGUGGAUACGGGCAGACUAGAGGUAGGUAGGGGAGAAUGGAAUUCCCGGUGUAGCGGUGAAAUGCGCAGAUAUCGGGAGGAACACCGGUGGCGAAGGCGGCCUGCUG
RNAcentral lists this ribosomal RNA (209 nucleotides) under uncultured bacterium. RNAcentral describes it as "partial 16S ribosomal RNA". It matches the Rfam family "Bacterial small subunit ribosomal RNA", at positions 524 to 731 of the family's 1533-position model. The record is from RNAcentral.